AGGAGGAAGUCACUUCGCUCUGCUAGUUUUAGUGGACAGGACCCUUUAUCAAUAUUAACCCAGACUCCUUGAUCAAAUUUGACCUGUAACCACAGGAGUGUUGGGAUGUGUGUAAGAGAAAACAAGUUUUAUUUUCCUCAUUGGCAUAUCUAAUACAUUUUUUUUGUGUUUUGUAGUUUGUAGUAUUUCAAACAGACUCACCGUCCAUAGUGAGCGUGGCAGAGCAGGAGGCGGUGCCGGCGUUGUUAGUGGCGAUGCAGGUGUACUCGCCCUCGUCCUCGGGGUAAACUCUGGAGAUCUCCAGCUGGCAGCUGUCGUCAAACUGAGACAUCCUGAAGAAGUCCGACUGCUUGAUCUCCUUCUCUCUGUGGAACCAGCUGAUCCUCACAUCUGAGCAGAGGAGGAGAAAAGGAGCAGGUGCUGACACCUCUUCAGUGCCACCAUGCAUCUAAAAACAGUCAUUUCCUCUGGACCACAACCCUCCUGUGAGAGCUUUGAGUGAACCAGAGCAGCUGAAUCAGACGCUGUGACUCACUUUAAAACCUCCUAAGUAUGAAGCUGAUACUUCACAGCACUGAUUUGUUUAUUAAAUCACAGCGUGUCGUUCUUACCGUCUCCACGGACUCUGCACUGGAAGCGAGCUGGCUCUCCCUCGCGGGUGGAGGUACUGGUGAUGGGUGAGAUGACGACAGGCGGGGCGACAGUAGCAGCCGAGUCCGGAGACACCACCUCUGACACUAAAACACACACACAAAUGCCUGUUUCUGCACAUGUCCUGGUGUUGAUGUUGAAUGUUUCCCGUGUCUGACGUUCUGUCUUACCUUCCACGUUGAGGGAGGCGGUGCUGGUGGCGGAGCCGUACUCAUUCUUGGCCUCGCAGUUGUAGACGGCAGCGUCUUCAGGGAACACUUCGAUCAGCAGCAGCGAGUGAUCGUUCCCGUCGCGGAGGAACUUGCACUUGAAGCCUGGUGACAGAGCCUGGGAGUUUUUGUACCAGAAGACCUGAGGCUGAGGGACGCCGCUCACCUGCACGGAGAAGCGAGCGGGUUUACCUGCCUCCACUGACUGAGGCUCCAUGUGACGGAGGAUCUGAGGAGGCUCCGGGACUGAAGGAGGGAGAAGAGACAGCUGUUCAUUUCAAGUUUAUGAUGUUAAACUUUUAUGACCAGCAGAUGUCGCCAACUAGAGAAAAUCAAACAUCUUGAACUAGUUAGAAAACCUCUACAGAGUGAUCAAUACUGAGAAGCUGAGAGGUGUACUCUCCGGCGUCACUCCUGAAGGUCUCAGAGAUGGUGAGGCGGUGCAGCUUCCUGAUGGUGACAUAGUUGAACCUCUCCUCCAUGGAGAACUGGAUCUCCACCCCAUUCCUCAUCCAGCGACCCUCCACGUCGUCCUCGUUAACCUCAAACUCAAACGUUGCUCUGUGUCGCUCCAGAACCUGAGAGAGGAGGAGGAGAAUGAGUCUCAGAAGUGAUCAGUGAUGUGGUUUUGAUCUUGUUUUUUAUCCUGUUCCCUGACUCUCAGAGAAACUCUCGUGCAUGUUCAUAAUUUACAUCUUUAACAUCAAACAUUUCCUCAUUUCAAAUCGUCCUGGUCAUCAUUUAACAAAGUGAGAUACGUCCACAUGUGAAUCUUUAAAGGAGGCUUUAAAAAGUCUCUCACCGUGAUCUCGCGCUCAGCAGACUCAGAGAUGCGGAUGUCUCGACCCUCCACGAUCAGGUGAGCUUUGGACAUGCUGGAUCCGGCCACCACAGAAUACUCUCCAGCAUCGGACAUCCGAACGGUCUGGAUCAUGAGACGGUGGACGUACUUCUCUGCUGUCACGAUGAACCUGAACACAGCAUAGAUCACCUGUUAGCUCUGAAUGCUUCUGUUAGUGUGAGGUAGAGAGGACGGAUAAUGAACACACCUGUCCUGAGUCAUGUCCAGCUCCUGCCCGUCCUUCAUCCACAUCACCUGGAUGUUGGGCUCAGAAACCUCGCACUCAAAGAUGGCCUUCUUCUUCUCUGUGAUCUUUAUGUCUUUGAUUUUCUUGGUGAACUCGAUCAGACGAGCUGGAAACAGAACAGAAAGAACGACAGAGGUUUUAUUAAAGAAGAGGAUAAUCUGACACUCCUGUAGUAGAAUCAUCAGAUUAUCACCUGACUAUAAUAACGUCUCAAAUAUUCAGUCACUGUUUUCAGAGCGUAUUAAACAACUUCCCCUGACUCUGUUUGUCUGACACGA
Molecule: long non-coding RNA, 2226 nt
Organism: Notolabrus celidotus (New Zealand spotty)
Lineage: Eukaryota; Metazoa; Chordata; Actinopteri; Labriformes; Labridae
Exons: 3
Source: RefSeq, a predicted model, not a curated record